Molecule: ribosomal RNA, 332 nt
Filed under: Plagiorchiida sp. DN92
Lineage: Eukaryota; Metazoa; Platyhelminthes; Trematoda; Plagiorchiida
Description: partial large subunit ribosomal RNA
Rfam family: Eukaryotic large subunit ribosomal RNA
Source: RNAcentral
GGGGCUUGGUGUAUUCCGGGUUCGUCCUGGUUUGCAUCUAGCGCGGUAACGCAACCGACCUCGGAGACGUCGGCAAGAGUUCUGGGAAGAGUUCUCUUUUCUUUAUUAGGAGUGCAUAUCCCCUGGAAUCGGUUUGUCCGGAGAUAGGGGACUAGCCUCCGUAAAGCACCACCCCUCUUGUGGUGUCCGGAACGCUCUUGUUGGCCCUUGAAAAUCCGAGCGAGGCAAUAUAAUUUUCGUGACCGGCCGUACCCAUAUCCGCAUCAGGUCUCCAAGGUGAACAGCCUCUGGCAAUUGAACAAUGUAGGUAAGGGAAGUCGGCAAAUUGGAUC